UAAAGUAUUAUUCACUUGAAGAACAAUACCGGCAUAAUUAUACAGAACAGUCAUUUUGCCUGUUGACAUAACAUAAAUAUGCUUUACAUGUCGUUUUGUUCUAGGGAGCAGGGAGCAUACAGAGGAGUUCAUAAAACUCCGUGGGCAAAAUGACCACCUCUUUACCGGGGCCAAAAAUACUGCCGCAGUCGGAUGGAGAACAAUCCUGCAAAAAAUGGGCCUGGAGGGUAAAGUUGAGCCACAACAGGCCAAAAAUAAAGUGGGACAACUUGAAAAAAAA
Fundulus heteroclitus (mummichog) is the source of this 280-nucleotide long non-coding RNA. RefSeq lists it as uncharacterized. Lineage: Eukaryota; Metazoa; Chordata; Actinopteri; Cyprinodontiformes; Fundulidae. The transcript has 2 exons. The record is from RefSeq and is a predicted model, not a curated record.